Molecule: long non-coding RNA, 1377 nt
Organism: Magnolia sinica
Lineage: Eukaryota; Viridiplantae; Streptophyta; Magnoliopsida; Magnoliales; Magnoliaceae
Exons: 4
Source: RefSeq, a predicted model, not a curated record
GAAGCCACGUUCCACCAUGAAGGACUUAACACUACAACAAGCCAGGCCAUCCAGGCAAACACAUCCGUCAUUAUCCUUUAUCAUCUUCUUGAUUUGGGUGCCCUGGGUUCAUCCUUGUACCCAUGACCCACCUGGGGUUUAUCGUAUAAUCUCAGACUCCAAUCCACUAAUUAUCUGGCUCAAGGAGCAUUAUACCUAUGGAGUUGAAAUCACCACUCUAUGGCAGCAAGUGCUGGGUGCAUCUGGCUUACAUGGAACCUUGAAGCUGGUGAUAGCAGGCAUGAGGAGGCAUCUUCUGAAGCUGGAGCCAAAUCAUGGAGAGGAUGAUUGUUCUUUUGCUGAGCAUAUAGGCAAGUGUGGAUAGCUGGAACAAACACGCUGAAGGUGAGAUAAGCAAUGAAAGACCAAGGAGCUCAGAAGCCGGAGCCAGACUGGUAAUGCAAUGCAUGAAACCAUGCAUGGAUUUUCUUCUUGGACCGCAUCAACAACAAGUACAACCAGCUUCUCUUGAGAAAUUGACUUCUACAGUUAUCUGCUGCUCCAGCAAAGGUGAUGACUUAGAAGUCCAUCAUAAAAUGCAAGACAAGAAAAGAGUGGAUUCAAACGUCCAUGUCAGGCAAGCAGUUUGCCAUGGGGAUGCUUUCAUACAACUUCGACGAUACAAAGUUCAAAGCUGUAGAAGCAAAUCAGUUAGAAAUACCUCCUACCUGCCAUGAGGGACAUGACCAUUUGAUCAGUUGGACUCAUCCCUUACUAUUCGAAAUGCAUAUCGUAUAAUACAGACUUAAAUGGUGAGUUACUUCCUAGAAAUAGCAAUUAUAGAGUCUAACAAAAGCCUUUGCUUUCUCACAUUUUGACCAUUAGCAAGAAUGGCUCAAUUUCAAAGAUGACAUAUGAUUAAACAUGUGAACAAGUCAUAUGUCCAAUUAAUCAAGAAACGUGAAUCCAGCAUUGAUUUAUGGACAGAAGAAACUCUGUGUUAUGGAAUUGUCAAUAAAACAUGCAACGACUAAAGUGAAAGAAAAGCAACCUAACAUAAAUUUGUCACAUUAUCAAAAGAUGAAAAGAGCCAUAGCAAUUUGUGUGUUUGUGCAAGUCUUUUUUUUCUUUUCUUUUUUUUAAUGAUAAAGAGCCAGAGUAAUUCCAAAUCAUCAUAAGAAAAUUUUGUACCCUUAACAAAAUAUCUGCACAAGAAAACCCGAAAACGGAGACCAAACCAAUCAAAUAAAUACACAAGGUAGACAAAAAGAGAUGUGAUUCAAACUAAUAAAAUCCUAAUCCUCAAAGCAUGUAAAAAAUGAGAGUGAAAGUAAUACCUAAGUGGAAAGACUCAUAUAUAUUACGAAAUGUUGAUUUGUCAAUAAUCAUAAAAGGAGA